Molecule: small nuclear RNA, 84 nt
Filed under: Myotis brandtii (Brandt's bat)
Lineage: Eukaryota; Metazoa; Chordata; Mammalia; Chiroptera; Vespertilionidae
Description: U2 spliceosomal RNA
Rfam family: U2 spliceosomal RNA
About the family: U2 is a small nuclear RNA (snRNA) component of the spliceosome (involved in pre-mRNA splicing). Complementary binding between U2 snRNA (in an area lying towards the 5' end but 3' to hairpin I) and the branchpoint sequence (BPS) of the intron results the bulging out of an unpaired adenosine, on the BPS, which initiates a nucleophilic attack at the intronic 5' splice site, thus starting the first of two transesterification reactions that mediate splicing.
Source: Rfam by way of RNAcentral
AUCGCUUCUUGGCCUUUUGGCUAAGAUCAAGUGUAGUAAGAAGUUACAUUUCAUCAAAACUUAUAUAUAGAAAUGGAAAUCUAU